ACUGGGUAUGGUGGCACACACCUGUAAUCCCAGCAACUGGGGAGGCUAAGCAGGAGGAUUGCUAGUUUGAGGCCAGCUUGGACAAUGUGGUGAGGCCCUAAGCAACUUAGCAAAAUCCUGUCU
This 123-nucleotide small RNA is filed under the name Marmota monax (woodchuck). Lineage: Eukaryota; Metazoa; Chordata; Mammalia; Rodentia; Sciuridae. The record is from RNAcentral.